Molecule: long non-coding RNA, 878 nt
Organism: Acanthopagrus latus (yellowfin seabream)
Lineage: Eukaryota; Metazoa; Chordata; Actinopteri; Spariformes; Sparidae
Exons: 3
Source: RefSeq, a predicted model, not a curated record
AGAUUUUGAGCGUAUUCCCCGCAGAGCAGAGAGGAGGGACGGAGCUGAAACAUGUCGAGGUCCAGCUGAUGAAAACAUGAGCAGUGUCAACUACGGCCCGCUUCAGCCACACUGGAGCAGGUCUGCACAGCAAUGAAAUACACAGCUGUGGAGGGAGAGAGACAGGAAGUGCUGUGUCUUCAGGUGUGUGAUGAUGGACCAUCCAUCAGCAGCUCAGCACAGAGCUUUAGAGACCGGCACCAUCUGGCUCAGUGUCGCUGCCACACGAUGGAUGAUGGAGCUCUGCUGCACCGGUCGCCUGCCUGCUUUUCAAACCCUGACGACACGUGCAGGACAGCGUCCUCACGGACGUUCCAGCGUGGCUGCAGGGAGCCCCUGAGCAGGAGGAUGUCUGAUUACACUGAGUGCUGCUCUACAACAGGGACACCUGAACGUCACAGACACCUGCAGGUCAUGGGAGAAACAGACUUUGUGCUGUUUGGGUCCAACAGCAAACUGCAGAAUAAAACCUGAACAAACAAGAAUUGACCUCAUGUUCUGUCCUUGAGCAAGGCAGCGGUGCACCUGCAGCGCGCUUGUUUCCAGUCGUGCCAUCCAGUCUGUGCUCUGCAUGCUGAUCCAGCUCUUGUUAAAAGCACAGUUUAGCAGCAGCGCUCUGCUAAUGCAUUCUGUGUCACUGCGAGGAAACGAGGACAGCAGCGAAACCUUUCAGAUUUUUAAUUAUGCAUUUGAAGGCUUGAUGCUGCUCAGACCCAUGUGGAUUUCAUUCUCCCUCCACUCCUUUAAUAAGCUGAAGAGUAUGAUGUCACUGUUGUUCUCUCGUGCUUCAUCUGUGGAGGAGACAAGUGGACGCUUGAAUACGAGGAACAACUGGCCAU